RNAcentral lists this ribosomal RNA (253 nucleotides) under uncultured bacterium. RNAcentral's name for it is "partial 16S ribosomal RNA". It matches the Rfam family "Bacterial small subunit ribosomal RNA", at positions 524 to 776 of the family's 1533-position model. The record is from RNAcentral.
UACGUAGGGGGCUAGCGUUGUCCGGAAUCAUUGGGCGUAAAGAGCGCGUAGGCGGCCAGAUAAGUCCGGUGUGAAAGUCACAGGCUCAACCUGUGAAUGCCGCUGGAAACUGUCUGGCUAGAGUCCGGAAGGGGCGAGUGGAAUUCCUGGUGUAGCGGUGAAAUGCGCAGAUAUCAGGAGGAACACCGGUGGCGAAGGCGGGUCUCUGGGCCGUAACUGACGCUGAGGAGCGAAAGCAUGGGGAGCGAACAGG